Molecule: ribosomal RNA, 306 nt
Filed under: uncultured bacterium
Lineage: Bacteria
Description: bacterial SSU rRNA
Rfam family: Bacterial small subunit ribosomal RNA
Source: RNAcentral
AUUGAACGCUGGCGGCAGGCUUAACACAUGCAAGUCGAACGGUAACGGGUCGAAAGCUUGCUUUCAAUGCUGACGAGUGGCGGACGGGUGAGUAAGGCUUGGGGAUCUGGCUUUUGGAGGGGGAUAACCAUUGGAAACGAUGGCUAAUACCGCAUAGUAUCGAGAGAUGAAAGGGGUGGGAAACCACUUGCCAAGGGAUGAACCCAAGUGAGAUUAGGUAGUUGGUGGGGUAAGGCCUACCAAGCCGACGAUCUCUAGCUGGUCUGAGAGGAUGGCCAGCCACACUGGGACUGAGACACGGCCCAG